RNAcentral lists this ribosomal RNA (253 nucleotides) under uncultured bacterium. Its description in RNAcentral is "partial 16S ribosomal RNA". It matches the Rfam family "Bacterial small subunit ribosomal RNA", at positions 524 to 776 of the family's 1533-position model. The record is from RNAcentral.
GACAGAGGUGCCGAGCGUUAGGCGGAAUCACUGGGCUUAAAGCGUGUGUAGGCGGGCCGUUAAGUGCCCCGUGAAAUCCCCCGGCUCAACCGGGGAACGGCGGGGCAUACUGGCGGCCUUGAGCCACUUAAGGGCAGACGGAACAAGCGGUGGAGCGGUGAAAUGCGUAGAUAUCGCUUGGAACGCCAACGGUGAAAACAGGUUGCUGGGGUUGUGCCGACGCUGAGACACGAAAGCCAGGGGAGCGAACGGG